CUCAAGCUGGACUGGGUUAGGGCCAUUAAAAUGAUCAAUAAAAAAGGGGCAAUGUAAUUGGGUGUCCCAACCAAUGAAUGUGCAAGACAUCGCUGGUGCUGGCGUGCAGCUCUCCGCUCUAGUGGCUUCAGUCUAUCUCCACAUCGACAGUUAGAAGGGUCGCCCCACUCAUUACUGAAGUCCAUACUAUCUUGCCGUGGAUGGUCACCUGUGUAGUAAGUAUGUAUGUAAAUAAAUAAAUCAAAGCAACAAGAACAAGAGUAAA
Molecule: long non-coding RNA, 265 nt
Organism: Suricata suricatta (meerkat)
Lineage: Eukaryota; Metazoa; Chordata; Mammalia; Carnivora; Herpestidae
Exons: 2
Source: RefSeq, a predicted model, not a curated record